This 2744-nucleotide long non-coding RNA is filed under the name Mus musculus (house mouse). Its description in RNAcentral is "long non-coding RNA chr14:60922053-60924797". Lineage: Eukaryota; Metazoa; Chordata; Mammalia; Rodentia; Muridae. The record is from RNAcentral.
ACUACCCUGGGCAUUGCAACACAAUUCAUGAUACACAAGAUGUAGACAUGACCUGGGUGUCCAUCAAUGGACAAAAUAGAAAGGAGUAUGUCACCAUGAAACACACAUGAUCCAGGAGGCUACUGCAGUAAGUGAAAUAAGCUGGGCAUGGAGAGACAUGUGAUUUUACUUGUGAUGGGGAUCGUGGGGAGAUGUCGGUCAAAGGACACAACAUUCCAAGGACAUAAGAAUAAGAAAUCUAUUGUAUAUCACGAUGGCUACAGUCAUUCAUGCAGAAUACUUUCAAAAAAUGCUGAAAUUAGAUGCAAAGGGUAGAAAGGAUAGCUGGGGUGAUAUACAUGGUGACUGGCUGGAUUCAGCCCUUUCACUGUGUACACUUCAAACAUUCAUACUAGUUAUAAUUCAUAUGCAUGGUUUAUGAUACUUAAAACUUAAAAUAAACCAUGGAAAAAUUGACCUAACACUAAAGUUGCCAUCUCCACUUGGUGCCCUCAUACACACACACUAAAGGUGACAUCGUCACCAGAUGCAGCUGUGCUGGUUAGUUUGAACUGUCAACUUUGGGUAUCUAGAAUCAGUAGCAAGAGAGUCUUAGAAUUAUCUUGAUCUGGUCUUAUCUGUGGGGGAUUGUGUUGAUUAUUAAUAGAUGUGGGAGGACUAAGCCUGUUGUGAGUGCUACCAUUCCCUAGGCAAGGGACCCUGAACAGUAUGAGAGAAGAGAAAGUUAGUUGAGAGAAAACAUACGAGAAAGCAAGCAAGCAAUCAAUCAAGCAAGCAAGCAAAGGCAUGCAUUUAUUUCCCCUUGUUCUUGACUGUAGACUUGAAGCUCUCAGUUCCUCCCUAGGCUUUUUCACAAUAAUGGGCUGGAGCUUAAGGUUGUGAACCCUUUAUUCCUUGGGUAGCUUUUUGUCAGGGUAUUUUAUCACAGCAACAGAAAUUAAAUAGACUAGUACAUCAUUCUGUUGUUGUUGUUGUUGUUGUUGUUGUUGUUGUUAUUGUUUUUAUCACCCCCGACACAAACUCCAUACAUUCAAGCAAUUCCUUCUCCCAGCCCCUGGGAACAAACACUUUCCUUUCUGUGUAUGUGAAUUUGACUAUGUAGGUGCCCAGUGCAAGUGGAAUAGCUUAGUCUGUUUUUGUUUUUUUGUUUUUGUUUUUGUUUUUAUCCAGUUUAUUUAGCAUGGUGUCUUCAGGUACCAAGGCACACGUCAGAACAUCCUUCAUUUUAAGGCUAUGUAAUAGUCCCCAUACACAGAAAGGAAAGUGUGAUCAGUGGGGAGAGAAUAUUUCUGAAGUAGAGAAAGAGAGAGAAAGAGAGAGAGAGAGAGAGAGAGAGAGAGAGAGAGAGAGAGAGAGAGAGAUCAGAGAUCAGAGAAAAAAUCCCCAUUGGAAAAACUGUUUAAAUAAAAAAGUCACAGUUACCUUUUUACCAAAUGAGUGUUCUGAAGGGAAAUAGACUUACAUUUAUUCAGGGCUCCAAUGGAAAUGGCCAUGGUUUUGGUAUAGGGAGGUGUUGACAUGGCCUGGCCAUGGACAGCCUGCCUCCCCAACCCACUAUUAAGGGAUUCCUAGCAAGGCUGUGAUGAUUUGAAUGAGAAUGGCCCUCAUAGGCUCAACACUGGUUAGGAGGUGUGGGGUCUGCUACCGUGGGUAGUAGGGUCUAUGGGUUUAUAAGACUCACGCCUUCCCAGAGUGCUCUCUCUGCCUUGUGGUUCUAGAUCAAGAUAUACGUUCUCAGCUGUUCCUUUGUUUUUCUACCAUGGACUCCAACCCUCUGAAGCCGUAAGCCAAGUUAAACAAUUUCUUUUAUAAGUUACCUUGGUUAUGAUAGCUCUUCAUGGCAAUAGAAACAUAACUGACAGAAAUUGGUACCAGGGAGUAGACUAUUGCUAUAACUGAACUGACCUUGUGAUUUUUUUCUUUAGAGGAAUGCAGAAGGCUUUAGGAUAUUGGACUAGGAAAGUGAUUGAACACUGUUAGCUUCAUGAGCCAUCCUAUCGGGAGCUUGGAAGACAGCAGUGCUGAGAGCUCUGAAGGCUGAAGGGUUAUCAGUAAUCAGUCUUUUCGUAAAUGUGAUCCACGUAAGCCUCCGUGGUCUACAGUGAAGACGACCAAGUGGGGCAAAAUUGAUGUAUAAAGUACCCAGUUUGAAGAGAAAAAGAGUAACAUUUGAGGCAAGACUUGUGCUGGAAGAGAUGAGAAGGUUAAAGAGCGGUCUGAUCAAAAACGGAAUAUGAACGUGUGCCGGGGGCCAGCCCUGGCAGUUCUUCAUUCUUGUUUAGUUCUUUUUGGGGCAGCAGAGGGUGAAGAGUGUUGGCAGGAGUAAGGACUUAUGAAAUAUUUAGGACUGCUGUAUAAUAAUAAAUCAUUUAUCUGCCUUAAGUCUAUUUACCUGUCUUAAGUCACUAUUCAAUAGCUGACCUAUGUGCUGUGAGUUCCUCUGAGGUGAGAAAUUGUUUAGUAUCUCAUCAUAAAACAACAAAGGAUUAAGUGAAAAGAUUUACUGCUGCUGCUCCUUUCUCUGGUAAAUCAGCCAGAAGCCUCUCUGGCUAAGCUGGUUAACUCUUUGUGAACCAGAGAGGAGGGAAAGGAAGAUAAUUAAGAGGCUGUAUACAGGGAAAUAGUCACAGACACAUAUUCAAUAGAAAUAUUCAUAAACCCACACUCUGGCCGGGCACACCUGUCAGUCACAAUCAACUCCUCAAGGAUUCAUGCAGGCUCACAUACAUUACAUAUACCGCACA